CCCACAAUGCUUAUUACUCCUCACAGUUUUUCAUCUUUCUCUCCCUUUUCUAACGUUACCUGUUGCGUACAUAGCGUGUCGAACGCGUAUUCCGUGCGAUGAGCGAUAUUCGAGUUUAACUUUUGUCCUAAUAUGACAAAAUACGCGUCGGGAGUGUCGGCUAAUAUAUCAUAUGAUUAUUAUAAUAUCGUUCCGCCGUAAUUUUGCAGUAAUAUAAAACGCGGAGUGCCAUUUAAAGUGCCGUGCGAUUUUCAUAUUCGCGUCGCGAUCGCAUGUGAAUACUUUGAAAACCACUGAGAGGAGGAGGAGGCUCGGGAGGAGCAUCGGGCGCCGGCGGAACAACUUUACGAUCAACUAUGCAGAUCAACAGAACGACAAUACAGACUCCGCUGCUGCGCAUCAAUCGGCUGCACCGUUACAUCGGGAAUGGCCUUAUUUGAAAGGGGGUGCUCUCUUGGCAGACGAGCCUCCAAGACGACGCCGUCGAAGCCUUCGCAGCCGGUCCGCACUGUCUCCCGAGUGGGGACCAGUAUCCAGCGGUCGGACCUUCAGAACCGGAGGAAGGCCAUCUUCCUGGUCACACCGCCGCCGCCGAUACCACGAGGGCGGAAGCGCCAGUCUCCGGGCGACGUGGGCAUAGUCUCGUACACGCCAUCGCAGGAGCGAAGAGCGACGAGGCCAACCGCCGUGCCGACCACCGCACGAGUCAAACCGACCAGCGCCGUAAAAAUACGGCCCUGGAGCGGGUUACCGGUCAUUGUAACUCGGCCGACAACGGCCGUCGCCGCACCACCGGCAUCAGCAGCCGCCGCAUCUCGGGCCACCACCAGCCGCCGCAUCUCGGCCACCACCAGCCGCCGUCUCAAGGCCACCGCCAACCGCCGCUGCACCACCGCCGCCGCCAGCUAAGGGGCCAGCCAAUUCGCCGCCCAUCAUGGUGGAGUAUGCUCCGCGAGAAUUCGCCGCGGUACCGUAUUACUCGGUAACCGUCUCGCGGAGCUAUAAGCUUCGAACAGACGACGGAAGGAGAUACAAGCUCCUCUUCUUGCGAGAAGGGCGACUUCUCGCAAGCCGUCUGCUGCCGCCGCAGGCUUCUGGCUCCCCGAAGCGGGGGGUGAUGUAACGGUGCAGCCUGCAAGCUGUACCAACUUCACGUCACGCGUGAACGAAUCACACGUCACCUUUAUACACUCAUCACACUGAUACGAAUUAUACGAAUUACAUUUAUACCGAUCACACGCAAACAUUUAUACAAACCAUUUAUACCAACCAUACGCAUGUACACACUGUCGUCUAAAUAAACAUAUCAUUUUGUUAUCAUCUUUUAAACGCGAGUUCUUCUUGACGUACCUCCAACCGAACGAACCCGGAUUCGAGCUAUACCGCGAGCUAUACCGCGCCCGAAAAGCUCACACGGUUUCAUGUGUUUAGAAAAAUACAUAUUAUAUUACAG
This is a non-coding RNA of Linepithema humile (Argentine ant), 1453 nucleotides long. NCBI's taxonomy places the organism in Eukaryota, Metazoa, Arthropoda, Insecta, Hymenoptera, Formicidae. The record is from RefSeq and is a predicted model, not a curated record.